CCAAACUUGGUCAUUUAGAGGAAGUAAAAGUCGUAACAAGGUUUCCGUAGGUGAACCUGCGGAAGGAUCAUUACCGCUUGCUCGACGGCCCGCCCCCUUGGGGGUGGAGCCGCGGCAUUGCACAACCCUUGCCUAUGUCUACCAUCCGUUACUCCCUCGGCGGGCUUCCCCCCGCCGAAGGACACCCAACCAAACCCUUUUUAAUAGCAUCAAAAUCUCUGAAGCAAACAAAACUAUUACAACUUUCAACAAUGGAUCUCUUGGUUCUGGCAUCGAUGAAGAACGCAGC
RNAcentral lists this unclassified non-coding RNA (289 nucleotides) under uncultured fungus. RNAcentral describes it as "partial contains small subunit ribosomal RNA, internal transcribed spacer 1, and 5.8S ribosomal RNA". The stretch from base 1 to 73 matches the Rfam family "Eukaryotic small subunit ribosomal RNA", at positions 1759 to 1831 of the family's 1831-position model. The record is from RNAcentral. Lineage: Eukaryota; Fungi.